Molecule: RNA transcript, 2223 nt
Organism: Enhydra lutris kenyoni (northern sea otter)
Lineage: Eukaryota; Metazoa; Chordata; Mammalia; Carnivora; Mustelidae
Gene name: interferon lambda-1 pseudogene
Exons: 1
Source: RefSeq, a predicted model, not a curated record
CAUGGGUUGGAAGACUUAAUAUUGUAACAAUGUCCAUUCACCCCAAAGCAAUCUGCCGAUUUAAUGCAAUCCCUAUCAAAAUCCCAAUGGCAAUUUUACAGAAAUAGAAAAAAAAAAAGUCCUAACAUUUCUACUGGAUCUCAAAGGGCCCUGAACAGUUGAAACAAUCUUUAAAAAGACAGUGUUUGACUCCUCACACUUCCUGAUUCCAAAACAUGUUACACACAAAGCUACAGUCAUCCAAAUACUGUCAGACUGGCAUAAAGGUAGAUGUACAGACCAGUGGAACAGAAUAGAGUCAGACAUAAACCCUCACGUAUGCGGCCAAAUGAGCUUCAACAGAACACACAAUAGGGUUCAGACAGCCUCAACAGACAGUGGCGGGGAAACAGGAUAUGCAAACACAAGAAAGUGAAGUUAGACCCUUACCUUAAGCCGUAUAUAAAACUUAACUCAAAAAUGGACUAAAGGCCUAAAUGUAAGACCUAAAACUAUAAAAGUCCUAGCAGAAAACAUAGGGGGAAAUGCCUGACAUAGGAUUUGGCAAAGAUUUAUUAGACAUGAUGCCCAAAGCAUGGGAAACAAAAGCAAAAGCAGACAAACGGGACCAGAGCAAACCAGCAGCACCUCAAAGCCCCCUCGGCUGCGAAGGUGGCCUCACCCACGCCUCCCAGCCCCCACCCCACUCGAGCCGCUUUCCCAUCCCUCCACCUGCCUCAGCCUCGGUAAGGGGUUCCCCAAGGCCCCCAAAAGUUGGCCCCAAGCCAGAGACUGUCCUGCCACAGGGACUUCUCGGAAACAAGGUGUUCUCCUGUGAGUGAAUUUCAGUUUCUCUUUCCUUCUGGCCAGGUCCGGGGAGGGGACCUGCGGGCUCCCCUGUCUCUGCGCCUGGGUGGCCUCACCCAGACCCACGUGCUCCCCUGGGUCAGGACUGGCCCCACCCAUGAGCGCCUUUCCCGUCCAAGUGGAGAUUCCAAUUUCCACUUACCUUUUCCCUUUACCUACAUCAGCCGGGGCUGCCCGGGGAGCCUGGCUAAAAGCAGAGCCAUGCAGCGGGGAAAGCAGUGGGGAUCUGGCCAUGGCGACAGCGUGGAUCCUGGUGCUGGUGACCGUGCUGCUGGGCUUGACCGGAGCAGGCCCUGUCCCUACUUCCAAACCCACCUCAACCAGGAGGAGCUGCCUCAUGAGCAGGUUCCAAUCUCUGUCACCAAGGGAGGUGGAAGCCAUCAGGAAGGCCAAGGAUGCCCUAGAAGAGUCGCUCUCGCCGAGGAACUGGAGCUGCAGCUCUCGCCUCUUCCCUCAGUCCAGGGACCUGAGACUGCUGCAGGCCUGGGAGCGCCCCGUGGCCUUGGAGGCCGAGCUAGCCUUGACACUGAAGGUCCUGGGGACCAUGGCUGACUCGUCCCUGGGGGUCGUCCUGGACCAGCCCCUCCGUCUGCUGCGCCACGUGCACUCGGAGCUCCAGGCUUGUGUCCCGGCUCUGCCCACAGCAGGACCCAGAGCCCGGGGCCGCCUCCACCACUGGCUGCACCGGCUCCAGAAGGCCCCAAAGGAGUCCCAGGGCUGCCUCGAGGCCUCCGUCACGUUCAACCUCUUCCGCCUCUUCACAUGGGACCUGAAAUGUGUUGCCAGCGGAGACAUGUGUGUCUAAGAACCCAGGCCCCCACGCUCAGCCCGCCUGGGACCCGGACCUUUCCUAGGCACCAAGCCUCACCCCUGCCUUAAGUUAUUUCCUCUCAACCCCCUUAUUUAUGCAGCCCUGCUCCAUACCCAUAAGAAAUGUUUAUUUUUCUACUUUUGUACAACGUGCAGCAAAUAAACAGGAAUGGGGGGAAAAAAUAAAGAGCCACUACUCCGGAGACUGAGAGAACAGAGGAACGCGACAAACAACAGCGCGGCUGCAAUCAGCAGAAUGCCGGCUCGGGCGAGCUCGGAAGCACUAGAGAUCCAGCUUAACAAAAACAUCUCAAGGAGAAAAAAAAUGAGGAAGAUGGUGUCCCUACACUCUACAAGGACAGCCUUCAGGGUAAACGUGAUUUAAAGAUCUAUCCACCAUUGCGAUGUGGAGACCUUAUUUGAGCCCUGAUACGGUUUUUAAAACAUGGAUUUCUAGGACAACUGGAUUUCAGAACACUGAUUGCAUACCACUAUUAAAGAAUUCUAAACACUUAGGUGCGAUAAUGAUACGGUGCCCUGAAAGUCCUUGUCUUGGGGAGCCUGGCU